This 437-nucleotide unclassified non-coding RNA is filed under the name fungal sp. Its description in RNAcentral is "partial internal transcribed spacer region". The stretch from base 1 to 46 matches the Rfam family "Eukaryotic small subunit ribosomal RNA", at positions 1786 to 1831 of the family's 1831-position model. The record is from RNAcentral. Lineage: Eukaryota; Fungi.
AAGUCGUAACAAGGUUUCCGUAGGUGAACCUGCGGAAGGAUCAUUAACACUUUUCUUUACUAUUAUCAAUACCAAUGAGCACCUGUCUGAGCCUCUCGGCUGUCGAAGGUCGUCUGGGGAAUGGUUGGACUACUUUAGUAAUCCUCUCUUCGAAGAAGGAUUAGUAGAGUAUGCAUCGCCCUGGUCUGCUGUUAAGUUAGCCCGUCAAUCGGUCUGUCUUCUUUCUUCAUUGAAGGAGCAUCUGAUCGAAAGGCGAUCGGUCUAACGCUUCGAUGGUGACAUUUUUUUUUUUCUUUUAACCUUUUUGAUAUUUGUACUGAUUUGGGCUAUGGAUUUGAGAGGAGUAACGUCCUUUCUCUAUGGCUGUUGAUAGACCGUUACUGGUCUCUUCAAUAACAACCAAAACACAACUCUUAACAGCGGAUAUCUCGGUUCUC